RNAcentral lists this ribosomal RNA (119 nucleotides) under Longidorus closelongatus. RNAcentral describes it as "partial 18S ribosomal RNA". It matches the Rfam family "Eukaryotic small subunit ribosomal RNA", at positions 1693 to 1809 of the family's 1831-position model. Lineage: Eukaryota; Metazoa; Nematoda; Enoplea; Dorylaimida; Longidoridae. The record is from RNAcentral.
AUGACUUAGUGAGGUCUUAGGACCGGAGUGAUGGAGCUUUAAUUAGUUCUUUUGCUUUGGAAAUUUGAUCGAACUACGUUAUCUAGAGGAAGUAAAAGUCGUAACAAGGUUUCCGUAGG